CGGGAUGAGGCAACACCCCGACGUUCGGGACGUGGGGGUCGCAGGUUCAAAUCCUGCCACUCCGACCA
RNAcentral lists this transfer RNA (68 nucleotides) under Methylobacterium sp. P1-11. RNAcentral's name for it is "tRNA-Leu". The record is from RNAcentral. Lineage: Bacteria; Pseudomonadati; Pseudomonadota; Alphaproteobacteria; Hyphomicrobiales; Methylobacteriaceae.